This 506-nucleotide ribosomal RNA is filed under the name uncultured bacterium. Its description in RNAcentral is "partial 16S ribosomal RNA". It matches the Rfam family "Bacterial small subunit ribosomal RNA", at positions 29 to 523 of the family's 1533-position model. The record is from RNAcentral.
AGUGAACGCUGGCGGUAGGCCUAACACAUGCAAGUCGAACGGCAGCACAGAGGAGCUUGCUCCUUGGGUGGCGAGUGGCGGACGGGUGAGGAAUACAUCGGAAUCUACUCUGUCGUGGGGGAUAACGUAGGGAAACUUACGCUAAUACCGCAUACGACCUACGGGUGAAAGCAGGGGAUCUUCGGACCUUGCGCGAUUGAAUGAGCCGAUGUCGGAUUAGCUAGUUGGCGGGGUAAAGGCCCACCAAGGCGACGAUCCGUAGCUGGUCUGAGAGGAUGCACAGCCACACUGGAACUGAGACACGGACCAGAGUCCCACGGGAGGCAGCAGUGGGGAAUAUUGGACAAUGGGCGCAAGCCUGAUCCAGCCAUACCGCGUGGGUGAAGAAGGCCUUCGGGUUGUAAAGCCCUUUUGUUGGGAAAGAAAUCCAUCUGGUUAAUACCCGGGUGGGAUGACGGUACCCAAAGAAUAAGCACCGGCUAACUUCGUGCCAGCAGCCGCCGUAA